This 522-nucleotide ribosomal RNA is filed under the name uncultured bacterium. Its description in RNAcentral is "bacterial SSU rRNA". It matches the Rfam family "Bacterial small subunit ribosomal RNA", at positions 9 to 518 of the family's 1533-position model. The record is from RNAcentral.
GAGUUUGAUUCUGGCUCAGGAUGAACGCUAGCUACAGGCUUAACACAUGCAGGUCAGGGGCAGCAUGUUGGUUGCUUGCAACCGAUGAUGGCGACCGGCGCACGGGUGAGUAACGCGUAUCCAACCUUCCCCGUUAGUAGGGCAUAGCCCGUAGAAAUGCGGAUUAAUACCCUAUGUUCUUCGAAGCGGUCAUCCAAUUUGAAGCAAAGAUUCAUCGCUAAGGGGAUGGGGAUGCGUCCGAUUAGGUUGUUGGCGGGGUAACGGCCCACCAAGCCAUCGAUCGGUAGGGGUUCUGAGAGGAAGGUCCCCCACAUUGGAACUGAGACACGGUCCAAACUCCUACGGGAGGCAGCAGUGAGGAAUAUUGGUCAAUGGGACGAGAGUCUGAACCAGCCAAGUAGCGUGCAGGAUGACGGCCCUAUGGGUUGUAAACUGCUUUUAUCAGGGGAUAAAGUGGCCCACGUGUGGGUUUUUGUAGGUACCUGAUGAAUAAGGACCGGCUAAUUCCGUGCCAGCAGCCGC